GGAACAUUUUAGAUCAUUAUUUUCUAAAUGUGGUAUCUUAUUAUUUACGUGUUUUUUUGGCUUUUUUUUUUGGCUUUUUUUUUGGGCUUUUUUCCCCUCCAUCAUUUGACAAACUGCUAUGAUACAGAAAAUCAAUAAUGUUAUAUAUUUUUUAAUUAAAUUCAGGAAUAAUAAAAAGGUAUGACCUAACACUAAAUGGACUAAUAAACACUAACCACACCCAAGAAAGAAAUUCUUAACCAGGAAACAAAGCAAAACAAUAAUUUAGGUUGUAAUACCCGCUAAGUUAAAAAAAAAAAAAAUGUUUCUUCAGCACACACACUUCAUUAAUUUUUUUACAUAGAAAAACAUAGAAAAAGAUUCAUAGCUGGUAUCAUGGGAAACGCUAGCAUCGAAAAAAAAUUGCUGUUCUCACCUGCUACCCACACACACACAUCCGUGCUAAGAUAUGCUAGCAAACACGGAUGUGUGUGCUCAUACACUCUAAUCAAAAACCCACCCAGAAACACGUGAACAUGAAUGGUAAUGUCCUCUCUGUCGCUAUCGCUCACUUUCUAUUCCAGUCACACUCACGCUUGUACACACACUUCACUAGGCUUGGUGUGAUGGUGGCUAAUUUAGCGCUUAUGUGGUAUAGAGGUAAUAGGAUCUGUAAGCAUAGUCUCUCUCUCUAUCUCUAUCUCUGUCUCUCUGUGAUUUUCUUAAGUGUUUAACUGAUCUGGUGCCCUUUAUCAAGUAACAGCGUCUUUUCGGAAAAAGGUUGGGCUCUUUAGCCAAAUAGCUUCUUGCUAAUUAUGAGCACAUUUCAUUCUAAAGGUCACUUGCUACUUACACACAUGUAAGAAUUUAAAAGUGUACUGUGGGUGUGGUUAUGAGUCCAUCCACUUGUUUUUAUGUAACUUAAUAUGUUAAUAUAGAAAAUAUGAUGUGGUGUUCUUUAAUAAACACACGACACACAGUGGUUUAUUCCUUACAUACAACACAGCAGAUCGCAGAAACAGAAAACGAGCCAACCUGCGUGCGAUAGUACUGCGUUUUCUAAAAAUAAGCACGUUUAAUAAGCAUAAACAUUCAUACAUGUCAACUGAAAGGUUUUCACAUAAAAUUCAUUUUAAAGAAAUAUUUCAAACGAGAUGAACGGGAAUAGGGUGAAGUUUAACGCCAAGAUUUAAAAAAUAACAUCAAUACUUAGAAUUGGAUGAAUGGGAGUACCUCAAGGCUCAGCUCUAGGCACAAUCUAAAUGUCCUAUCUUUAAUAAAGUGCAAUAAAACAAUAAAAAAAAGAAUAAACCUAGAAAUGUCAUAAUGUCUAUUAUAUUGUCAAAUACAUAUUCAGCAAAAUUUAAGAGGGAAAUCAUGUAUUUAGAAUUGGAUUAAUGAAAAACCUCAAGGGUGAGCUGUAGGCCCGAUCAAGAUUAGAAAAAGGACCCAAUAUAAAUGACGUAUCAAAACGAUUCCAUAUUCAUAUUUUCUACCUCACUACAGUCCAGAGAAGCUUUUUUUUAAUGUUCUGAGGAAUGCAAACAAUGGCUCUGCUAAUUAUAUUAUAUAGCGCUUUGUUUUCUAAUGACGUUUUCGGUCCAGAACGUCAGUGUUAUGAAUUAUUCAUAUAUCCUGUGAUCUAGCGGGCAGAGAGUAAUAAAUGCACAUCCGCCCCUCUCCUUUCUGCUUCAGAAAAAUUCAAUCAAAAUGCAGGCUGAUGUAUAUAUCAGACCAUAGUUUUUGUAGGGAAACAAAAAGAAUAGUGUGUAAGUCUUAUCAAAAAGAGAAUAUUCCUUCGGUCACAAAAAAAGCCUGAAAAUCCCACAGACAUAAAUAUCCUACCAUACCAUUCCAUAGAUAUUACCACACCAUAAAUAUUCUACCACUCAGUAUCCACCUUAAGCCUUAUAUUUAUUUACAUUCAUCCAUAUAAUUAUAUAAUUUUUACAGUUUUAUAACAAGAAAGUUUACACUGUGCUAUUUUCGUUGGGACAUUCAGUGUCGCACAUAAGACUCUCGCAUGGUAAAAACAUUCUUCAGCGAUUAAUUGGUAGCUGAUUUAGUACUGUACUUUGGCAACCAAAGACAUCUGACGACAAAGUUCUGUCACCUUGAGAAAUUUUGAAUUAAAAUCUAUGUGAGUGUGAGCGCUGUUGAAAGCCAAUAGUAUGUAUAGUAUGACCAAUAGGAGGAUGGUAUGACCAAUAGGAGGAUGGUAUGACCAAUAGGAGGCACUGUAUGACCAAUAGGAGGAGGUAUGACCAAUAGGAGGAGGUAUGACCAAUAGGAGGAUGGUAUGACCAAUAGGAGGCAUGGUAUCACCAAUAGGAGGAUGGUAUGACCAAUAGGAGGAUGGUAUGACCAAUAGGAGGCACUGUAUGACCAAUAGGGGAGGUAUGACCAAUAGGAGACAUGAUAUGAUCAAUAGGAUGUAUGACAAUAGGAAGGAUGGUAUUACCAAGAAGAGGAUGGUAUGACCAAUAGGAGGAGGUAUGACCAAUAGGAGGAUGUUAUGACCAAUAGGAGACAUGGUAUGACCAGUAAGAGGAUGGUAUGACCAAUAGCAGACAUGGUAUGACCAAUAGGAGGAUGAUAUGACCAAUAAGAGGAUGGUAUGACCAAUAGGAGACAUGAUAUGAUCAAUAGGAGACAUGGUAUGACCAAUAGGAGGACGGUAUGACCAUUAGGAGGCAUGGUAUGACCAAUAGGAGGCAUGAUAUGAUCAAUAGGAGGCAUGGUAUGACCAAUAGGAGACAUGAUAUGAUCAAUAGGAGAC
This is a long non-coding RNA of Ictalurus punctatus (channel catfish), 2758 nucleotides long. NCBI's taxonomy places the organism in Eukaryota, Metazoa, Chordata, Actinopteri, Siluriformes, Ictaluridae. The record is from Ensembl.